UGCAGUACGAGUGGGUGUUCUAGUCGGGCUCAUAACCCGGUCAGGCCAGUUCAAAUCUGGCUACUGCG
RNAcentral lists this transfer RNA (68 nucleotides) under Chromochloris zofingiensis. RNAcentral's name for it is "tRNA-Met". Lineage: Eukaryota; Viridiplantae; Chlorophyta; Chlorophyceae; Sphaeropleales; Chromochloridaceae. The record is from RNAcentral.